RNAcentral lists this ribosomal RNA (261 nucleotides) under uncultured archaeon. RNAcentral describes it as "partial 16S ribosomal RNA". It matches the Rfam family "Archaeal small subunit ribosomal RNA", at positions 748 to 1009 of the family's 1478-position model. The record is from RNAcentral.
CAGCCGUAAACUAUGCUCGCUAGGUGUCAGGGACGGUGCGACCGUUUCUGGUGCCGCAGGGAAGCCGUGAAGCGAGCCACCUGGGAAGUACGGUCGCAAGGCUGAAACUUAAAGGAAUUGGCGGGGGAGCACUACAACGGGUGGAGCCUGCGGUUUAAUUGGAUUCAACGCCGGAAAUCUUACCGGAUAAGACAGCUGAAUGAUAGUCGGGAUGAAGACUCUACUUGACUAGCUGAGAGGAGGUGCAUGGCGUAGUCGUGU